UGUAUGGAGACAAAAGAUUGAAGGGAACAUUAAUCUUCUUUACUCGAAAGUUCCAUGAAGGGGUUUUCGACAUCCUGUUAUGGAUUUUAACGUGUAGACCUACGAUUAAUAUUACUUGAAAUUCAAAUGCCAUUGCAUAGAUUUAUUCAAAAUAAUGUCACCUUCGACAAUUAUCUGGGAAGAAAUCUUAACGCCAAUAAUAAUGAGCGAUUAUAUUUUAAAGUGACAACGAAUACGGGAAAAAAAAGAAAAUCAUGGCUAUUUGCCCAUUGAAUAGAUAUAAGCUAGAUUUGGAAUACGCUGCCAGUAAGAAUAGUUGUAACGGUGUUCUUUAUGUCAUGGGAGGAUUUCAAGGCAAUCCCCAUUGAGAAAAAAGAAGCAAUGCAAAAGAUAAAAAAUUAAAUCUGUAAACGUUUUAUACACACAUUUAUUAUGAUAAAUGAAUUAUCAUUAUAAGAGCGAUGAUUUUACUUAUUCUUCUGAGUUAUUCAUUAAAUUACUUCCUCUUAUUAGUGAUUUGCAAAAAAAAAAAAAAUAA
Bombus impatiens (common eastern bumble bee) is the source of this 538-nucleotide long non-coding RNA. RefSeq lists it as uncharacterized. The record is from RefSeq and is a predicted model, not a curated record. NCBI's taxonomy places the organism in Eukaryota, Metazoa, Arthropoda, Insecta, Hymenoptera, Apidae. The transcript has 2 exons.